GCAUGUUUGAUCCCUGUCCUGGUCACCCUUGCCCCGGUCCUGGUCUCUCCCCGUCUCUGUCCCUGUCCUGGUCUCUCCCCGUCUCUGUCCCUGUCCUGGUCUCUCCCCGUCUCUGUCCCUGUCCUGGUCUCUCCCGUCUCUGUCCCUGUCCUCGUCUCUCCCCAAUCUCUGUCCCUGCCCUGGCCUCUCCCCACCUCUGUCCCUGCCCUGGUCUCUCCCCGUCUCUGUCCCUGUCCUGGUUUCUCUUCGUCUCUGUUCUUGUCUUGGUCUCUCCUUGUCUCUGUCCCCGGCAUCUGCCUGACUCUGUCCUUGGCCUCGGGGUCCAGGCUAUCAGGGCGUCUGGGGCGCUCAGAGAGCCUGCGGGUGAGUGACCGCCGCCGGCCUUCCCGGGGCAGCCUCGGGGCUAAGGGCCGGGGUGGGGGCCGCUCCCGGAGCGACGUGGACAUGGACCCCAGUUCCGCCACGGCAGUGCUUGGCCCUGCCCGACGAGCCACGUAUGUCAACCCUCUCCCUUCCCCCAUCCACUAAGGCAGCCUGGAGAAUCAGGGAGGGAUUGUUGUCAGAGUCACAGAGGAAUGGGCGUUGGAGACCGAGGUCAUUGAGGCCAACUGUGGUCACAGACCUCGGAGGAGGAGGGGGUAGAAUGCUUCUAGAGAUCUGGGAACUCUAGUGUGGUCCGAUCUAGAGACCUGGUCUGCUGCACGGGCCACCCUGCGGGCAUCGAAUGCCAAGGCCACUGACCGGGGUUGAACGCUCUAAGAGGUUGAAGGCUGCUUCUCGGGAUGGCCCAAGCUGGGGCCCUAACAAGGCCUCUGUCCACAGCCCCGAGCCUGGAGAUGAGGGGGAGCCGGGGCGGUCGGGACUGGAGCUUGAACCAGAAGAGCCUCCCGGCUGGCGGGAACUCGUCCCCCCAGACACCCUGCACAGCCUGCCCAAGAGCCAGGUGAAGCGGCAGGAGGUCAUCAGCGAGCUGCUGGUGACAGAGGCGGCCCACGUGCGCAUGCUGCGGGUGCUGCACGACCUCUUCUUCCAGCCCAUGGCAGAAUGCCUGUUCUUCCCCUUGGAGGAGCUGCAGAACAUCUUCCCCAGCCUGGACGAGCUCAUCGAGGUGCAUUCCCUGUUCCUCGAUUCCCUGGUGAAGCGGAGGCAGGAGAGUGGCUACCUCAUCGAGGAGAUCGGAGACGUGCUGCUGGCCCGGUUUGAUGGUGCUGAGGGCUCCUGGUUCCAGAAAAUCUCCUCCCGCUUCUGCAGCCGCCAGUCAUUUGCCUUAGAGCAGCUCAAAGCCAAGCAACGCAAGGACCCUCGGUUCUGUGCCUUCGUGCAGGAAGCUGAGAGCCGCCCGCGGUGCCGCCGCCUGCAGCUGAAGGACAUGAUCCCCACGGAGAUGCAGCGGCUAACCAAGUACCCCCUGCUCCUGCAGAGCAUCGGGCAGAACACAGAAGAGCCCACAGAACGGGAGAAAGUGGAGCUGGCAGCCGAGUGCUGCCGGGAAAUUCUACACCACGUCAACCAAGCCGUGCGUGACAUGGAGGACCUGCUGGUCAGCCCCAGCACUUAGCUUGUCCCCAUAAUGCUCCCAUCUCUGCCCCAGAGGCUCAAGGACUAUCAGCGGCGCCUGGACUUGUCCCACCUUCGGCAGAGCAGCGACCCUAUGCUGAGCGAAUUCAAGAACCUGGACAUCACCAAGAAAAAAUUGGUCCACGAGGGCCCACUGACGUGGCGGGUGACUAAGGACAAGGCAGUGGAGGUGCAUGUGCUGCUGCUGGACGACCUGCUGCUGCUGCUCCAGCGCCAGGACGAGCGGCUGCUGCUCAAGUCCCAUAGCCGGACACUGACGCCCACACCCGAUGGCAAGACCAUGCUGCGGCCCGUGCUGCGGCUCACCUCCGCCAUGACCCGCGAGGUGGCCACCGAUCACAAAGCCUUCUACGUCCUUUUUACCUGGGACCAGGAGGCCCAGAUAUACGAGCUGGUGGCACAGACUGUGUCGGAGCGGAAAAACUGGUGUGCCCUCAUCACUGAGACUGCCGGAUCCCUGAAAGUCCCUGCCCCUGCCUCUCGCCCUAAGCCCCGGCCCAGCCCGAGCAGGCCUCUGUGUCUUCCAUUGUCUGGGCCUCUCUGUCUCCCUGUCUCCCGGCCUCGACCUCUGUCUCUGUCUCCGGACCUCCCUGCCUCCCCACCUCCAGCUCUCUGUCUCCCUGCCCCUGCGGCCCCCCAGGGCCAGGGGUGUGGGGUCACCCAGCACUUCCUCCCCUCAGCACCCGAGAACCCCUCCUCAGCAGCUCUGAGAACGGCAAUGGUGGCCGAGAGACGUCUCCAGCUGAUGCCCGGACUGAGAGAAUCCUCAGUGACCUCCUGCCCUUCUGCAGACCAGGCCCCGAGGGCCAGCUCGCUGCCACGGCCCUUCGGAAAGUGCUGUCCCUGAAGCAGCUUCUGUUUCCGGCGGAGGAAGACAAUGGGGCGGGGCCUCCUCGAGAUGGGGAUGGGGUCCCAGGGGGCGGCCCCCUGAGCCCAGCACGGACCCAGGAAAUCCAGGAGAACCUGCUCAGCUUGGAGGAGACCAUGAAGCAGCUGGAGGAGUUGGAGGAGGAAUUUUGCCGCCUGCGACCCCUCCUGUCUCAGCUUGGGGGGAACUCUGUCCCCCAGCCUGGCUGCACUUGAGGUUCCCGCCCAGGAAGGCCUUUUGCAAGGAGAGGAAUGGGGGAGAGGACGUGAGGGACCACCCCCACCCACACAGCUGCCGCAGCAUCUCACACCCCGAGGGCCUGAGGAGAGGGAGCUGUGGGCCACGCCUGGGAGGGGCCCAGCUGGGGUUACUGGCCCCGCAUGAGCCUCGGCCAUCUCUCCCUCCUGCCCUCUGCUUGGGGGACUCAGGGCUCCAUUCUGGAGGGCACCACGGUGACCCGGGCCAUCUCAGUAUUGCCUGUGGGGGCCACCCCUCCACCCCCACCCCCAAGUGCCUUCGCUCUGUUUUUAUACCCUGAAUUGGAGGUUUAUUUUUUAAUAUAUAUUAUCUAAGAAGAGA
RNAcentral lists this small RNA (3025 nucleotides) under Pan troglodytes (chimpanzee). RNAcentral's name for it is "retained intron". Lineage: Eukaryota; Metazoa; Chordata; Mammalia; Primates; Hominidae. The record is from RNAcentral.